AUGAAAGUUAAGCAAUUGAAAUAAACUUGAAUUUAAAUGAUAAGGUAAUGUAAAUUGCAAAAAUUUAAACUUACACUAAGGAAAUAAAGAAUUGGCUACACUAGGUGCUUGAAAAGUAAAAUCCUAAGUCUAAGAAAAGAAAAGUGCGAGACAAAAAAGAGGUUUGUGUGUCUAAUGAUGUGUGUCUUCUGCCUUCGUUCGGUGAAGUUUAUGUAAGGCAUCCGUUAGCCCAUGGGCUGGCCAUUGAAUGAUCAAAUGUCAACUCUUUUAAAACUCUUUCCUUUUGAAGCCCCCAAAAUCCAUGGAUCAUGUCGGCGGAGAUAUUAUGGUUGCUUGAUUUUCUCUCGUUUUGGAAAAUUCCGAAUCGUCAUCAACCUCCUUGAUUUCUUUCCUUGUCAAGCCUCAGUCACGUGCACACUGACCUCUGUGGAACCUCGUGCCCUUUGAGUUUUUAGAAUUCUAGAGUUGGCUAACCAUCUGCCAAGAUGGGUGCUAUGGGAACUUCAAAUAUUUGGAUGUCGGGCUUAGCUCCACGUUUGACUAUCUUUGAGUUCUCAAAAUAUUUGAAUGUUGGGAACUCAAUGGACAUACCUCCCCCCGAACUUCAACUCCCUUGACGGAAAUACCUUCUGCCGAACUUCAACUCCUUCAGGCCAACUUUGCUUGCCCAAGUGUUUCGAGGAGGGCGCCAAGGUGCACAAGGAGAAAAUUCGCCCUGACCCAACUUUUUCUAUGAGGGGUGGCCGACCAAGGUAUUUAAGAAGUGCCCAACCCAACUUUUUGAGAAGUGCCCGACCACUUUUUCAAAAGGAAGCAUUUGGCCAAUUUUGCAAGGAUACGCACAACCACUUUUGCAAGGAUACGCCCAACCACCUUUGCAAAGGGAAGUGCCUGGUCAUUUUUGCAAAAGGGAGCGCCCGACCAUAUUUUUGAGAAGGCACCACGGCCUUUGAAGAAAACACAUUUGCCACAUUUUUGAGAAGGCACCAUGGCCUUUGAAGAAAACACCUAGGUCGCAUUUUUUAGAAGGCACCACGGCCUUUGAAGAAAAGACCUCGGCGGCCAUUUUGAGAAAGCAACUCGGCAGCUAGGAAUUCUCGGCCACUAGG
RNAcentral lists this long non-coding RNA (1109 nucleotides) under Prunus dulcis (almond). RNAcentral's name for it is "sRNA ncRNA". The record is from RNAcentral. Lineage: Eukaryota; Viridiplantae; Streptophyta; Magnoliopsida; Rosales; Rosaceae.